GACGAACGCUGGCGGCGUGCCUAAUACAUGCAAGUCGAACGCUUUUUCUUUCACCGGAGCUUGCUCCACCGAAAGAAAAGGAGUGGCGAACGGGUGAGUAACACGUGGGUAACCUGCCCAUGAGAAGGGGAUAACACUUGGAAACAGGUGCUAAUACCGUAUAACACUAUUUUCCGCAUGGAUGAAAGUUGAAAGGCGCUUUUGCGUCACUGAUGGAUGGACCCGCGGUGCAUUAGCUAGUUGGUGAGGUAACGGCUCACCAAGCCAACGAUGCAUAGCCGACCGGAGAGGGUGAUCGGCCACACUGGGACUGAGACACGGCCCAGACUCCUACGGGAGGCAGCAGUAGGGAAUCUUCGGCAAUGGACGAAAGUCUGACCGAGCAACGCCGCGUGAGUGAAGAAGGUUUUCGGAUCGUAAAACUCUGUUGUUAGAGAAGAACAAGGAUGAGAGUAAAAUGUUCAUCCCUUGACGGUAUCUAACCAGAAAGCCACGGCUAACUACGUGCCAGCAGCCGCCGUAA
RNAcentral lists this ribosomal RNA (523 nucleotides) under uncultured bacterium. RNAcentral describes it as "partial 16S ribosomal RNA". It matches the Rfam family "Bacterial small subunit ribosomal RNA", at positions 28 to 523 of the family's 1533-position model. The record is from RNAcentral.